This 1937-nucleotide unclassified non-coding RNA is filed under the name Hevea brasiliensis (rubber tree). Lineage: Eukaryota; Viridiplantae; Streptophyta; Magnoliopsida; Malpighiales; Euphorbiaceae. The record is from RNAcentral.
GAGAGAGAGAGAGAGAGAGAUUUUGUUUCUUUUGCUUUAUGGGCCCCACGUUUUCUAAUUAGGAUUAAACAGUGGGUCUAGCUUGCUGAUUGGGAUUAAAAUUGUUGACAUGAUGCCACAUUUGAGAUAUAAAUAAAUUUGGGUUGAAAAAUUAACAAAUCCAGCUUUUCUUACUGAAAGCUCCAUGUUGCCAAUUAGGACUAAAUGAUGGCUCUAGCUUGCCAUUUGGGAUUAAAAUUGCUGAUGUAGAGGCCCAUUUGAGAUAAAUUAAAGUGAAUUAUCAAAAAUUAACAAAUUAUAGUUUUCUUACUGAAAUGAAAUUAAGUGGCAACUUGAGUGACGACUGAUAUAAUUUAAUCUGAAAAUGGCUUGCUUGAACUACUCUGAAAGUACAGUUUGUGUUUUCAUUCUUUUAUAAACCUUGUUCGACAUUUCUGAACUGGAAACCUGCAUGGUAACAUACAAUUUCUUUUUAACUAUUUUAAAAUUCGCAUAUGAAAGUAAGCCAGCAUUCUUUGCAGUUGGCUUCAUAGAAGCCUCCAAUGAUUUGUUGGAUUCUUUAGUGGUGGGACUGAAAUUGUAAAUUUAACUUCCCAUAUUAUUUAUCUUCUCCUGUUAAGGAUAUCUACCUGGAAGGCUCUAUGAUCUCAAUGCAUCGCAGUAUGGAAACCAAGAUGACCUAAAAGCUUUAGUGAGGGCCUUGCACAAAAUGGGGAUUCAGUGCAUAGCAGACAUAGUUAUAAACCAUAGAUGUGCAGAGAAGCAAGAUGAUAGAGGAAUAUGGUCAAUAUUUGAAGGAGGGACUCCAGAUGAUCGACUUGACUGGGGGCCAUCUUUCAUUUGCAGCGAUGACACUCUUUACUCUGAUGGAAAAGGAAAUCCUGACACUGGAGCUGACUUCAAUGCUGCUCCAGAUAUUGAUCAUAUAAACCUGCGGGUACAAAGUGAGCUAUCGGAUUGGAUGAAUUGGCUAAAGAAUGAAAUUGGUUUUGAUGGGUGGCGAUUUGAUUUUGCGAGAGGAUAUUCACCAAGUUUUACUAAAAUAUACAUGGCAGACACCAAACCAAGUUUUGCAGUGGGGGAAAUAUGGAAAGAUCUUGCUUAUGGAAAUGAUGGAAAGCCUGAAUACAACCAGGAUGCUCAUCGGCUUGACAUUGUGGAAUGGAUCCAAGCUGCUGGUGGAGAUGUUACGGCAUUUGACUUCACAACUAAAGGAAUACUCCAAACAGCAGUUGGAGGUGAGCUGUGGCGGUUGAAUGACUCAAAUGGAGGACCUCCUGGAGUGAUUGGCUUGUUGCCAGGGAAUGGUGUCACUUUCAUUGACAAUCAUGAUACAGGUUCCACACAAAAUCAUUGGCCAUUUCCAUCAGAUAAAAUCAUGCAGGGAUAUGCUUAUAUUCUCACCCAUCCAGGGAUCCCAUCAAUAUUCUAUGAUCACUUUUUUGACUGGGGUCUGAAAGAAGAGAUUUCAAAGCUUAUUGCAGUCAGAACCAGGAACCAUAUCAGACCCAACAGUGUUAUGCAAAUUCUAGCAAGUGAUGCCGAUCUCUACAUGGCUGUUGUAGAUGAGAAGAUCAUUGCCAAGAUUGGACCAAGGUCUGAUAUUGGGGACCUUGUCCCUCCAACAUUCCAACUUGCAGCUUCUGGACAAGAUUACAGUGUAUGGGAGAAAAAAGUUAUAAGGUAAUUAAUAACAAGUGAAUCAUUCGUUCAAUUAAUUGAUGACAAUGUGUGAAUUUGGGUUUAACCUUCAUGAUACAAUCCAAAAUGUCUUGAAACACUGAUUCAAUCCAUUUGCUAUCUGUACACAUUGUUUAUGCAUAUAAGCUGGAAGAUUGUAUGCAUUGGAUACAAUGGCCGUUUGUAAUGGAGGUUUUGUUGAUGGUGCAAUAGAAUGAUGCUAUUUUCAGUGCAAGAAUUUGUUUGUCCACAAAAAU